This 492-nucleotide ribosomal RNA is filed under the name uncultured bacterium. RNAcentral describes it as "partial 16S ribosomal RNA". It matches the Rfam family "Bacterial small subunit ribosomal RNA", at positions 29 to 507 of the family's 1533-position model. The record is from RNAcentral.
AGUGAACGCUGGCGGUAGGCCUAACACAUGCAAGUCGAACGGCAGCACAGUAAGAGCUUGCUCUUACGGGUGGCGAGUGGCGGACGGGUGAGGAAUACAUCGGAAUCUACUUUUUCGUGGGGGAUAACGUAGGGAAACUUACGCUAAUACCGCAUACGACCUACGGGUGAAAGCAGGGGAUCUUCGGACCUUGCGCGAUUGAAUGAGCCGAUGUCGGAUUAGCUAGUUGGCGGGGUAAAGGCCCACCAAGGCGACGAUCCGUAGCUGGUCUGAGAGGAUGAUCAGCCACACUGGAGCUGAGACACGGUCCAGACUCCGACGGGAGGCAGCAGUGGGGAAUAUUGGACAAUGGGCGCAAGCCUGAUCCAGCCAUACCGCGUGGGUGAAGAAGGCCUUCGGGUUGUAAAGCCCUUUUGUUGGGAAAGAAAAGCAGCAGGUUAAUACCCCGCUGUUCUGACGGUACCCAAAGAAUAAGCACCGGCUAACUUCGUG